UCGCGGGGACGACCUCGCGACGCUGUCGAGGCGCACAAUCCGGGGACGACCCCG
This 54-nucleotide non-coding RNA is filed under the name Pseudomonas marginalis. RNAcentral's name for it is "mini-ykkC". It matches the Rfam family "Guanidine-II riboswitch aptamer (mini-ykkC)". From Rfam's summary of the family: Simpler in structure and has fewer highly conserved nucleotide positions than the ykkC-yxkD leader. RNAcentral also lists the same sequence under 1 other name. Lineage: Bacteria; Pseudomonadati; Pseudomonadota; Gammaproteobacteria; Pseudomonadales; Pseudomonadaceae. The record is from RNAcentral.